Molecule: long non-coding RNA, 298 nt
Filed under: Elaeis guineensis (African oil palm)
Lineage: Eukaryota; Viridiplantae; Streptophyta; Magnoliopsida; Arecales; Arecaceae
Description: long non-coding RNA (EGUI_LNC034307)
Source: RNAcentral
ACCCUCAACCCUCAUACACCCACUUUCUCUCUCACAGAAAAUUUUUUCUCACAAAAGCUCUCUUUCUAGAAAGACCUCUCUGAACCCCUGAAGUGAUCGUUGUCCGCUGUCCAGGAGCCUCCUGCUUCUUCACCUCUCAGUGCCGUAUUUCUCUCUUCCUUCACGGGUGUUCUCAGGCUCUCUGUGGCAAAAAAUCAAGCCACCACCCCUUUUUCCGUGAUCAGAGCCUUUUAUAGGCCUUAAACCUAGGUUAGAUUAGGAUUAGGAAUCCUAAUCAGGCCUAAAUAAUAGCCCAAAA